This 110-nucleotide ribosomal RNA is filed under the name uncultured eukaryote. RNAcentral describes it as "partial small subunit ribosomal RNA". It matches the Rfam family "Eukaryotic small subunit ribosomal RNA", at positions 1676 to 1785 of the family's 1831-position model. The record is from RNAcentral.
UCGCUACUACCGAUUGAAUGAUUUAGUGAGUUUCAUGAACUGCUGGCUCUGGUUGGAAACUUCCUCUGCCGGCGGGAAAUGAUGCAAACUUGACCAUUUAGAGGAAGUAA